GGGGCGCAGCAGGCGCGAAACCUUUACACUGCACGSCAGUGCGAUAAGGGGAUCCCGAGUGCACAGGCAUAGAGCCUGUGCUUUUCUGAACCGUAGGGAGGUUCAGGAACAAGAGCUGGGCAAGACCGGUGCCAGCCGCCGCGGUAAUACCGGCAGCUCGAGUGAUGGCCGAUCUUAUUGGGCCUAAAGCGUCCGUAGCUGGCCUUGCAAGUCCGUCGGGAAAUCCACCCGCUCAACGGGUGGGCGUCCGGCGGAAACUGUGAGGCUUGGGACCGGGAGGCUUGAAGGGUACGUCCGGGGUAGGAGUGAAAUCCCGUAAUCCUGGACGGACCGCCGAUGGGGAAACCACUUCAAGAGAACGGAUCCGACAGUGAGGGACGAAAGCUAGGGUCUCGAACCGGAUUAGAUACCCCGGUAGUCC
RNAcentral lists this ribosomal RNA (421 nucleotides) under uncultured archaeon. RNAcentral's name for it is "bacterial SSU rRNA". It matches the Rfam family "Archaeal small subunit ribosomal RNA", at positions 327 to 747 of the family's 1478-position model. The record is from RNAcentral.